RNAcentral lists this long non-coding RNA (522 nucleotides) under Homo sapiens (human). RNAcentral's name for it is "non-protein coding lnc-AP3S1-3:3". Lineage: Eukaryota; Metazoa; Chordata; Mammalia; Primates; Hominidae. The record is from RNAcentral.
GAGGGAUUUUCGCUGUGUUUCCCAAGUGGGCCUCGAACUCCUGGGCUCAAGUGAUACCCCCCACCUCAGCCUCGUGACUAGCUGGGAUUAAAGUCCUGGGCUCAAGUGAUACCCCCCACCUCAGCCUCGUGACUAGCUGGGAUUAAAGGUGUGCACCACUGCAACUGACUUUCAAUUCCUUUCUGACCAAAAUCUUUUAUUUCUAAAAAGAAAUCAAAGAAGUUAAAAUUCUAUAAAUGAUUAGUUACUGCUGUGCUUAAUUUAAAUGUUAUUUAUGAUUAUUUUUAUAGCUAAGAUCAUUGUUUCAUCUUUAGACAUCAAUGACCUCUUUAUAUAUUAAUGCUAUAAAAUGUUUCUUUGAUAAUUAUUUUUGAUAUUGCUUUUCCUAAAUAUAGGUUCCAAACACUUCAUAAUAAAAAUUUUAAGAUAUUAUUUUGUCUUAACUAUCUUUGGGGUUUCCCAGGAGUCUUCUGAGACACAAAAGAUUUGUUCCAAACUUUAUUAAAUGAAUAAUGCUACAAA